This 209-nucleotide ribosomal RNA is filed under the name Micrococcaceae bacterium. RNAcentral's name for it is "partial 16S ribosomal RNA". It matches the Rfam family "Bacterial small subunit ribosomal RNA", at positions 1 to 205 of the family's 1533-position model. Lineage: Bacteria; Bacillati; Actinomycetota; Actinomycetes; Micrococcales; Micrococcaceae. The record is from RNAcentral.
UUGUAUGGAGAGUUUGAUCCUGGCUCAGGAUGAACGCUGGCGGCGUGCUUAAUACAUGCAAGUCGAACGCUGAAGUUCCCAGCUUGCUGGGGAUGGAUGAGUGUCCACUGGGUGAGCAUCACGUUCGUAACCUGCCCUUUAUUUUGGGAUAAGCCCUGGAAGCUGGGUCUAUUACCUGCCAUGCCCGUUGAUCGUUCGGUGGUGGUUUG